Molecule: ribosomal RNA, 486 nt
Filed under: uncultured bacterium
Lineage: Bacteria
Description: partial 16S ribosomal RNA
Rfam family: Bacterial small subunit ribosomal RNA
Source: RNAcentral
AUUGAACGCUGGCGACAUGCCUUACACAUGCAAGUCGAACGGCAGCACGGGUGCUUGCACCUGGUGGCGAGUGGCGAACGGGUGAGUAAUACAUCGGAACAUGUCCUGUAGUGGGGGAUAGCCCGGCGAAAGCCGGAUUAAUACCGCAUACGAUCUACGGACGAAAGCGGGGGACCUUCGGGCCUCGCGCUAUAGGGUUGGCCGAUGGCUGAUUAGCUAGUUGGUGGGGUAAAGGCCUACCAAGGCGACGAUCCGGAGCUGGUCUGAGAGGACGACCAGUCACACUGGGACUGAGACACGGCCCAGACUCCUACGGGAGGCAGCAGUGGGGAAUUUUGGACAAUGGGCGAAAGCCUGAUCCAGCAAUGCCGCGUGUGUGAAGAAGGCCUUCGGGUUGUAAAGCACUUUUGUCCGGAAAGAAAUCCUUGGCCCUAAUACGGUCGGGGGAUGACGGUACCGGAAGAAUAAGCACCGGCUAACUACGUG